GAUGCAAUUAGUUAAGGAUCUUGGGUAGAAAUCAUUCUGGAUUUAGAGUGGGCUCUAAAUCCAAUGCUGAGGUCCUUAAGAGAAGACCCAGUGAACAAGGUCAUAUGAAAUGGGGGCAGAAGUUGCAACUAUGCUGCCACAAAGCAAGGACUGACUAAGAUCUCCAGAGUAUGCAAGAGGGAAAGGAUUCUUCCCUAGAGCCUGCAGAAGGAACAUGGCCUACCUAGCACUUCAAUUUCAGACUCCUGGUCUUCAGAACUGUGAGAAAAUAAACUUUGACCAUUAAGCCUCCAAGUGUAUGGUACUUUGUUACGCAAUCUUAGGAGACUAACACACAUGGCUAAAAAUGUGCAAAGAAUUCUGAGUAUCAAACAUGUGGAACUUGUAGUUUGCCUAAAAUCAGCCCAAGAGUUCUGAGAAAAAUAUAUAGUCUAGUAACAGGUUCUUUUUUGUUGUUGUUGUUUGUUUUUUGAUACCAGGGAUUGAACUCAAGGGCACUCAACCAUUGAGCCACAUCCCCACUCUAUUUUAAAUUUUAUUUUGAUAUAGGGUCUCACUGAGUUGCUUAGGCCUUCCCUAAGUUGCUGAAGGUGGCUUUGAACUUGUGAUCCUCUUGCCUCGGCCUGCUGAGCUGCUGAGAUUACAGGUGUAUGCCACUGCAUCCUGCUCCAUUUUACGGAUUCUUAAUCCCAUGCCUACAUUUCAGGAAUAUAUUUCUUUGUGCUAGAAGUGUUUAUGAGGUUACAAUUUUUUUUUCCCAUUUACUGUCCACUCCUCUGCCCCUCUUGAUUAAUGGAUAUUUAAUGAUGGGGAAAAUCUUAAAAGGUGAACAGAAAAACAGAUAAGAAAAAAAAAUUGGUUGGAUAUUCCCCUACAAAGAAUGAAGAUUUGGUUUUGUUCUUAUUUAUACCAUUUACUAUUCUAAUGGGGAAAAUAAAGGCUUUCCAAUACUUUCAAAGCAGGAAAGUGAUCUUUACUGAUUACAUUUUGGUCUACAUAACAAAAUUAACCACUUUAAAGUAAACAAUUUCAUGGCUUUUAUAAUUCUGUACAAUUGUCACCUCUAGUUCAAAAACUAGACCUUUUUGUGUCUGGAUUCUUUGACUUUAAUGACGUUGUCUUGUACUUAGCAUAAUGUUUUUGCUGUUCAUUUCUAUUAUAGUGUGUUUACUAGGAUUUUAUUUCUUUUCAUGGCAUAGUAAUAUCCAUUUUACAUAUAUACCACAGUUUUUCUGUUCACCUAUUGAUGAAUAUUUGAGCUAUUUCUACUUUUUGACUAUUGUGAACAGUACUAUGAAUAUGUAGAUUUGAGUAACAAUUUCCAGUUCUUUUGGAUAUAUACCUAAAAAUGAAAGUGCUGAAUCAUAUAUUAAUCCUACAUAUGACCUUUUGAGGAACUGCUGAAUUUUUCCUCAGCUGAACCAUUUUACAUUUCUGUUAAUAAUUAACGAGAGUUCCACUUUCUUCACCUUCUUUUGCCAUACAUCACUGUGAGAUGGGUGGGGUCCCAAAUGGUUUACUGGGUAGAAAAUGCCUUCAGAUAUGAGAAUAGUAAUGCAUGGAAGAGCAAAAUAGUGGAUAUAUCUAUUUAAUUUGUACAUUAUAGUGCAAUUAGCUCUGUCACACAGAUUGGGGAAUCCAGAGCUUGUUGAGAUAAAUAGAUGGGCUCAUUCUGAGAAUUGAUGUGGCUCUCAUACAAAUUGAGUUAAACAUUGCAGCAAUGGAAACGAGAAAGCUUCCAGUGUACAGUUUUACAAGCAGAAAAGAGCUAAAUUCAGGGUUGCUGUGAGGAAGAAGUAGGUGACAUCAAGAUCAGAGUAGUGGAGUUGAAGACUUGUGGACUGGGAGCCCAGGCAAAACCUGGUUUCUGCAUGAGCCAAGAUUGCUGAGAAAAAGUCCAGCCUGAGCUCCAGUUUCUGUUAUAUUUUGGAUGAGGGCCAAAUGCUUUAGAAUCAACAUACAUUAUGUAUUGGGGAUUGAACCCAGGGCCUCAUGCAUGCUGGACAAACAUCCUACCUCUGAACCUUCUUGCCAUACUUCUUGGCAAUCUUUCUAACCUCUUCUACUCUCACAUAUGCUAGACUAUAACCGCCAACUCAAAAUUCCUCAGGAGUCAAUUUUUCUUUUUCGUACCUAUUUGACCCUGUUAUAUUUUUUUUUCUGACUGAAAUACUUUUGUCCAUCUGAUUAUCAAAUGUCAUCCCAAAUUUCACUAGCUCCCAAACCAUGCUGUGCUUCUGAAGAAUCUUGUAACAUUUGUCAUGUGCAUUGGAAUGAGCUGUUUAUAAAUCUGUCUGUGUGGCAGAUGCUACAGUUUGGCUCAUUCAACAUGUGUUUCCAACCAUCUUCUUAUUUAGAUUGCUCUAUAUGAAAGUCAGUAAACAAUAUAAUUGUACUUCCCUUCCUAAAAUCCAUUGCAGUCAGGGUUGGCCACAUGACAUGGCUUUGGCCAAUAAGAUUUAGGUCAGAGCACAGUCAUAUCAAUGUUUAUAGCAGCACAAUUCACAAUAGCUAAACUGUGGAACCAACCUAGAUGCCCUUCAAUAGAUGAGUGGAUAAAAAAUUGUGGCAUAUAUACACAGUGGAAUAUUAUUCAGCAAUAAAAGAGAAUAAAAUCAUGGCAUUUGCAGGUAAAUGGAUGGAGACAGAGAAGAUAAUGCUAAGUGAAGUUAGCCAAUCCUAAAAAAACCAAAUGCCGAAUGUUUUCUCUAAUAUAAGGAGGCUGAUUCAUAGUGGGGUAGGGAGGGGGAGCAUGGGAGGAAUAGACGAACUCUAAGAUAGGGCAG
RNAcentral lists this long non-coding RNA (2786 nucleotides) under Marmota monax (woodchuck). The record is from RNAcentral. Lineage: Eukaryota; Metazoa; Chordata; Mammalia; Rodentia; Sciuridae.